Molecule: transfer RNA, 75 nt
Filed under: Candidatus Saccharimonadota bacterium
Lineage: Bacteria; Candidatus Saccharimonadota
Also listed under: 1 other name
Description: tRNA-Glu
Rfam family: tRNA
About the family: Transfer RNA (tRNA) molecules are approximately 80 nucleotides in length. Their secondary structure includes four short double-helical elements and three loops (D, anti-codon, and T loops). Further hydrogen bonds mediate the characteristic L-shaped molecular structure. tRNAs have two regions of fundamental functional importance: the anti-codon, which is responsible for specific mRNA codon recognition, and the 3' end, to which the tRNAs corresponding amino acid is attached (by aminoacyl-tRNA synthetases). tRNAs cope with the degeneracy of the genetic code in two manners: having more than one tRNA (with a specific anti-codon) for a particular amino acid; and 'wobble' base-pairing, i.e. permitting non-standard base-pairing at the 3rd anti-codon position.
Source: RNAcentral
GGUCUCGUAGUAUAGCGGUUAGUACAUCGGGUUUUCAUCCCGACAAUGCGGGUUCGACUCCCGCCGAGAUCACCA